AUGAAUCAAUCGAAUCAGAAAAUAGAUCCCUGUCACACUUUGAGAAGCAGCGGAAACUGGGAAGAAAAUUGUAUGACACAAGAAGAGAUACUUUUAGAAGCAGCAGAAACAGGUUCCCCUUGUAUAUCUCUUUCUACCUUUACCCAAACAUAUAUUAAAAAAACAAGUUUUGAACGAAUAUUUAUUAAUUAUCUUUGUAUAUUUAUAUUUCUAGAGAUUAUGAGCACAACAAAUCUUUUCUUUCGAGAGCACUCAAAGCACGUGCCUUACUUUUAUAGAAGAGAGCAAAACAAUUUACAAGAGGUCUAG
This 309-nucleotide ribosomal RNA is filed under the name Triticum aestivum (bread wheat). RNAcentral describes it as "partial small subunit ribosomal RNA". The record is from RNAcentral. Lineage: Eukaryota; Viridiplantae; Streptophyta; Magnoliopsida; Poales; Poaceae.